This 251-nucleotide ribosomal RNA is filed under the name uncultured prokaryote. RNAcentral's name for it is "partial 16S rRNA". It matches the Rfam family "Bacterial small subunit ribosomal RNA", at positions 525 to 775 of the family's 1533-position model. The record is from RNAcentral.
ACGUAGGUGGCGAGCGUUGUCCGGAAUUACUGGGUGUAAAGGGAGCGCAGGCGGGGAAAAAAGUCAGCUGUGAAAACUAUAGGCUUAACCCAUAAACUGCAGUUGAAACUGUUUUUCUUGAGUGGAGUAGAGGUAGGCGGAAUUCCGAGUGUAGCGGUGAAAGGCGUAGAUAUUAGGAGGAAGACCAGUGGCGAAGGCGGCCUACUGGGCUGUACCUGACGCUGAGGCGCGAAAGUGUGGGGAGCGAACGG